UUUGAUUUGGGCUGAUUAUGGUCAUCAUUACGUGAAAGUUAGAAAACUCUGCAACCUCGAGCUCUUUACUCCUAAGAGACUUGAAGCUCUUAGACCUAUUAGAGAAGAUGAAGUCACUGCCAUGAUCUGAGCUUUUUACUCCUAAGAGACUUGAUGCUCUUAGACCUAUUAGAGAAGAUGAAGUCACUGCCAUGAUCCACGACAUCUUUACAGACUCCACAAAGCCAGGUACGCUUUUCACUUUUAAUUUAUUUACUCUUUUUUUUUAAUGCCCUGCGUAAUAACUUCAUUUCAAUAAGAUUAUUUCUUGUCUGGAAUUUCAU
Molecule: long non-coding RNA, 323 nt
Filed under: Nicotiana benthamiana
Lineage: Eukaryota; Viridiplantae; Streptophyta; Magnoliopsida; Solanales; Solanaceae
Description: long non-coding RNA (NBEN_LNC033342)
Source: RNAcentral